This 2289-nucleotide long non-coding RNA is filed under the name Capsicum annuum. RNAcentral's name for it is "long non-coding RNA (CANN_LNC019606)". The record is from RNAcentral. Lineage: Eukaryota; Viridiplantae; Streptophyta; Magnoliopsida; Solanales; Solanaceae.
GGGUCACUUAGUAGGGAUUUUAACUAAGUAUAAAUAAGCUAAUAAGUAAAUAGGCACAUAAAAGAGAAAAGGAGGAGGAAUUAAAAAACUUAGGUCAUUGGGCCCAAAUCAACGAAACCUGUCCUACUCUAAUUGGGCUUUCAACACAUUUUUCACCUGUCCUAAUCUAUGUUUUUGAGACUUUUUGGCCCAAAAUCUGCUUCACCUGUAUUAAAAUACAACUUUGGCUUCGAGGCCUAAAUGAAUGACUUAAACAGAUGAAUAAAUAAAUAAAUAUAAUAAGAAAUAAAAUAAUAAGAGAGUGAGACUUUCAAGUCUCUUUGUCGCUUCAACGAUGGGAUUUUAACCCAUUUCUUCUUCUUUCAUCUCUUGCAUCUGCACCUCAUGUAUCGUCCUAUUAAACCUUAUUUGAAAGUCAUCUUUUUAAAAAAAGUGGGCCUCAAUGGCCCAUUGCAUAAUGCAAGGAGAAAUGGUCCAUUUGGACUCCUGAACGGGUUCAUGCAAAGAAAAGGAUGAAGAAAUUAAUAUUUAUUUGAAACACAAUGUGACAUGCUUCUAAAUAGAAGAAAAUAUCAAGAGAUAAUUUUUGAAUGACAAUGAUGAGCACACUUACACACAUAUGGUAAAAAUGAGAGUCAAAAAGUGAAAUGCAAAGCAAGAAAGCACAUCUCCAUGCCUUAUGAUUUAUACUCAUGUUAAGGAUAAAGAUGAAAGGAAAAAGACUAUACUUAAGGAAUUAAUGCAAGAACAAUCAACGUAAGAUUUCAAAGGUAAAGAGGUGAGGUAAGUAAAAAAAAUCAUCUUUUUUAACACAAUCACAAACAUUAACCCAUGUAACACAGAAGAAAGUGGGGGCUAACCUUUAAUAAAGGGAAUCAUCAAACUCCAAAGACAUAUUAACAACGAUUCAUACAUUUAAGUUAGGGCCAAUAUUUCAGGGAAAAACAUGUAACAACCCAUAGUUAUCCUUUUGAGGUGCCAACGAUCCUCUUUGAUAUUAUGAACCAAAGGGAGCCGCGAGUAAAACCUUUUCGUACAAAUCAUAUACGGCAAUCCAAACGAAAUAAGAAAACUAGAAUGAAACUUUAGCAUCCGUCAUAGUUCAAGAAACCACAUUAUUCAUUAUUCAAAAAAUAUCCAAAUAAUUUCAUUUAACCAAAAAAUAUCCAUACUUAAACUAGUAAAGCCUUUACGGAACACAAAAAGAAGAGGAAAAAAACAUAGAUGUUUAACGGGGAAUGAGGAGAAACGAAAAGAAGAAUACAAAUGAAUGAACAAAUUACAAAUUUUGAAUCAAUGAAAACUUCUUUUUUUUAUCACGACCUUACAAAAUCCUUAUAGGUUUUAGUCCAUGAGCAUGAAAAUUGAAUUCAAGAGACAAAGAAAUUGCUAAAAUAACACCAUUCGAACAAACUAUAUCCUAAGUUAUAUUAAUCAUACCCAAAGGUGUGUUAACUCAAUAAUUAAAUGAUGCGAGUAUCAAAAUAAAAUCACAAAAAGCACAAUUAACCAUUUAUCACAGUAGCGUGACAAAGUUAUAAUAUGUGACUCGAGUAAGGAGAAAACAGUCAGCAGAUGCAAGAUAUAACAUACAGAACAACAUACUAUGGGAGGCGAAAUGCGAGUAACUAGAGUUUAAGAAUUAAGACGAUAAUUCCGGUCAAUAUUCUAACCUAAAAUAGACAACAGGAAGCUAAGGAAUGGCAAGUCAGACCACAAUAUGACAUAAUAAUUUAAUAAAAGUUCAUCACUACAGAGGUUUUUGCAAGCAGAAUUACGCAUACAUUAUGAAAUUCAGACACUGAACUUGAAGUCAAAAAGAAACUCUUCUUUAGUGCUCAUCAAAUAGAAACUGGAAUCUAAACUUUUACCACAAGAAUCAUCAAUUCUCAAUAAUAAACUAACAAGAAAAAGUUAGAAUCUCAACGAUCUAUAUAUAUGCUAAUUCAUAUUGUAAAAUUAUGGGUAAUCGACACCAAUAAACAUGAAACAAUAGAUUCAAACAUUAUUAAGUGUACGUGGCCUAUCAAUAUCGUUAACAGAUAAUAGUGAACUCAUUCAAGACAGUCGAACCAAAAUUUAACAUAGUCAUUGCUUCCGCAAAACAGAACAACUACAAAUCCUACGGCUCUCAUAGCCAUCUACAGCUACUCCCAGCAAACAACAUAACAAUACAACAUUACAGAGAAGGAGAUGAAGAAAAAGAAAACUGUAAUAUAAAUUAAAAUAGGAAAGGUGUUUACCUCUUUCAAAGCAGCAAAACAAGACAACGAGCUACCGUCGGACUCC